GGGGGAUUAGCUCAGUUGGGAGAGCGCAGCGUUCGCACUGCUGAGGUCAGGGGUUCGACUCCCCUAUCCUCCACCA
Molecule: transfer RNA, 76 nt
Filed under: Myxococcales bacterium
Lineage: Bacteria; Pseudomonadati; Myxococcota; Myxococcia; Myxococcales
Description: tRNA-Ala
Rfam family: tRNA
About the family: Transfer RNA (tRNA) molecules are approximately 80 nucleotides in length.
Source: RNAcentral